RNAcentral lists this transfer RNA (74 nucleotides) under Thermoprotei archaeon. Its description in RNAcentral is "tRNA-Pro". The record is from RNAcentral. Lineage: Archaea; Thermoproteati; Thermoproteota; Thermoprotei.
CCCAACGUAGUCUAGCUUGGUAGGAUGCCUGGCUUGGGCCCAGGUGGACGCGAGGCAGAGCCUCGCGGCCGAAU